Sinocyclocheilus rhinocerous is the source of this 210-nucleotide long non-coding RNA. RefSeq lists it as uncharacterized. The record is from RefSeq and is a predicted model, not a curated record. The transcript is spliced from 3 exons. Lineage: Eukaryota; Metazoa; Chordata; Actinopteri; Cypriniformes; Cyprinidae.
AGACAUUCUUACUAUAUUGGAUGGGGAUUUAAAGAAGCUUUGGAAGCUCUUCAGCACUGCGGAGGAGGUCACACAGGGAAAAAGUUUUUCUAAUUGGCAAUCAGAGCUUUCAAAUAUAUGGCCAGAUGUUAACAAAAAGCUUCCGGAGGACGUUCUUGGCCUGCUGCGUUUUUUGCGCAACAAACUAGUGCAUACAAAAGAAUUUAAAGA